ACUCCUACGGGAGGCAGCAGUGGGGAAUAUUGCACAAUGGGGAAGGCCAUCGAUGCAGCCAUGCCGCGCUGUGUGAAGAAGGCCAAUUCGGGCUUGGUAAAGACACUUUCAGUAGGGAGGAAGGUAGUGUAGUUAACACCUGCACUAUUUGACGUUACCUACAGAAGAAGCACCGGCUAACUCCGUGCCAGCAGCCGCGGUAAUACGGAGGGUGCGAGCGUUAAUCGGAAUUACUGGGCGUAAAGCGCAUGCAGGCGGCCUGUUAAGUCAGAUGUG
This 276-nucleotide ribosomal RNA is filed under the name uncultured bacterium. Its description in RNAcentral is "partial 16S ribosomal RNA". It matches the Rfam family "Bacterial small subunit ribosomal RNA", at positions 335 to 596 of the family's 1533-position model. The record is from RNAcentral.